Molecule: ribosomal RNA, 465 nt
Filed under: uncultured bacterium
Lineage: Bacteria
Description: partial 16S ribosomal RNA
Rfam family: Bacterial small subunit ribosomal RNA
Source: RNAcentral
CUACGGGUGGCUCCAGUGAGGAAUUUUGCGCAAUGGGCGAAAGCCUGACGCAGCAACGCCGCGUGAGUGAUGAAGGCCUUCGGGUCGUAAAGCUCUGUCAAGUGGGAAGAACCUAUGUAAUGUUAAUAUCAUUAUAUACUGACGGUACCACUGAAGGAAGCACCGGCUAACUCCGUGCCAGCAGCCGCGGUAAUACGGGGGGUGCAUGCGUUAUUCGGAAUCAUUGGGCGUAAAGGGCACGUAGGCGGCCUGGUAAGUCAGAUGUGAAAGCCCGGGGCUUAACCCCGGAAGUGCAUUUGAUACUGUCAGGCUUGAGUAUGGGAGAGGGAAGUGGAAGUCCUGGUGUAGAGGUGAAAUUCGUAGAUAUCAGGAGGAACACCGGUGGCGAAGGCGACUUCCUGGACCAAUACUGACGCUGAGGUGCGAAGGCGUGGGUAGCAAACAGGAUUAGAUACCCGUGUAGUC